UACGAAGGGAGCUAACGUUGUUCGGAAUCACUGGGCGUAAAGCGCACGUAGGCGGAUUUGUCAGUCAGGGGUGAAAUCCCGGGGCUCAACCUCGGAACUGCCUUUGAUACAGCAAGUCUUGAGUUCGAGAGAGGUGGGUGGAAUUCCUAGUGUAGAGGUGAAAUUCGUAGAUAUUAGGAAGAACACCGGUGGCGAAGGCGGCCCACUGGCUCGAUACUGACGCUGAGGUGCGAAAGCGUGGGGAGCAAACAGG
This 253-nucleotide ribosomal RNA is filed under the name uncultured bacterium. RNAcentral's name for it is "partial 16S ribosomal RNA". It matches the Rfam family "Bacterial small subunit ribosomal RNA", at positions 524 to 776 of the family's 1533-position model. The record is from RNAcentral.